Glycine soja is the source of this 1916-nucleotide long non-coding RNA. RefSeq lists it as uncharacterized. NCBI's taxonomy places the organism in Eukaryota, Viridiplantae, Streptophyta, Magnoliopsida, Fabales, Fabaceae. The record is from RefSeq and is a predicted model, not a curated record. The transcript has 3 exons.
AUUAUGGAUUUAUACAGACCCUCAUCCUCCGCCUUGACUCGACCAAUUUCCUAACCCUUGACCUUUCCCCUUUCGCUUAACCACCAUCUCAUUUGCAGCUGCAAUAGCGAAAUAAUGAAGGAGGAGGAAUCAAUAGUGGUUCUAGUUGAGGACGAAGAUGAUCCUUCAUCGACGCUUCUGGAUCUCACGAGUUACUAGCUCCACGACCUUGACUUGGUCAAAGUGCCACCGCGUUCGGCGUAUCAGAACUCAUCCUCGUUGGGCAAAGAGAUUUCAACUGUUUCGGGAGUCAUGUGUCCUCCUCACACCUCCGAUUUUGACACUUCCACUCCCUCCAAGACGCUUGCAACUUCCUCAAAGACAAAGACUGUGAUAUUUGUGGCAUUGAGAUCACAAAUGAUGCUCUCCCUAUCAAUCAACAUCCUUUCAACAAGAGCACUGCAUUCCUACUCGGCAACGAGGGUACUGACCUUUCUCCUAAGGAAAUUGAGAUAUGCGAUUCUUUCGACUAUAUCCUGCAAUAUGGCGGUGACACUGCUUCCUUGAAUGUUACUAUAGCUACUUCCAUUGUACUCCAUCAUUUCAGAGGUAAGGAUGAAGAUUGGAUUUCCAAUUACUAGUUAUGGUCAGGAGAGUAGAAAUAGAGUUGCUCGCCAAAGAAUUCCUCACAGGGUAUGAACUGAUGAGGAAGGUGUUGAGCAUGUGGAGGUAAAUCUAACAGCAUUUACUGAAAUUUAUUUGUCAAUGCGUACACAUUUUAUAAGAACUAUUUUGAACUUUGAUAAAUCCUUGGGAUAAGAUAACAAAACAAAAAACUUCAAGAAAAUGUUGUGAGGGAGGGGAAAAAGAUGAAAAAGAAAGAAGAGAAAAGAGGCAAGGUGUAGGAGCGUUUCAUUGGGCAUAUUGUUUCAUUGUUCUUUUGUGUCAGGUAACCCUGUUAAUAGUCAGUUACAAUAGGUUUGUUAUUUACCUUGUUAUUUGUUAGCUAGCUCGGGCUGGGAUAAUUAGAGAAAUAAGGCAUUUGCCUGUAAAUAAGAAAAAGGGUACUGAGAAUCAAAAAGGAGGUGGUGGGACCUUAUCAAGUUGGAAACAUUUGGACUCUUAGAGAGUGAGGGAGAGAUCAAGGUCUAUCGAAUACCUUAAGCAUUAGUGUAAUUCUUUUUUGGCUCUGUUACCAAAUAAUUGUACUAGAGAAUAAUUCAAAGGCAUUGACAAUGAAUGGAAGUUUACUUACUUGAUUGUUGAGAUUAGAGCACCAUCUACAACAUAAAUAAUUGUGGCUGAGCUUCAAAAUGUUAUGAACUUAAUUAUCUUAUUUUAUGCACAUUGAUUAACCUGUUGCAAAUGUUAGGCAUUAUAUAUAUGUGUCUUAUUUUGCACUCAAUUCUUUUCCUUCAACAAUGCCCCUAAUAUCUCACUUAAGCUCUUGGUUAUAUUUGAUUGUUGGUGAAUAAUACCAGGCUAUAGGCACUGUUCAAUGUUUUUUUUUGGUGUGUUUUGGCUAUAUAUUUUGAUUAUCUUAUGUGUGUCAACCUUGGAAAAUAUACUACAAAUUAUUUUAUUAGAAGGAAAAAUCCCUUAUACAUGUUCUUAUUAUAGUCCUAUUCACAUACAAUUCAUAUUUUCACGCAUACAUAUGAAACUUGAAAAAUCAUAAGAAUUUUGAAUUUCUGAUUUAUACUAGAAGGUAAAAAAAAACCUUUUACCUGUUCUUAUUAUAGUCCAAUUGGUAUGCAAUUCAUAUUUUCAUGCAUACAAAUAAAACUUGAAGAAUCAUAAGAAUUCUAAAAUACUUAAUGCAGAUCUUUAAUAUUUGGUCCAUUAUGGAUGCUGCAUUUUUCUGCUAUAAGCAUUUACCGCCUUAGCCAGUCCAUGUUUCUUGAGGGAUGAAAGUUGAAAGAAGGAAAGAGAAUUAA